RNAcentral lists this ribosomal RNA (445 nucleotides) under uncultured bacterium. Its description in RNAcentral is "bacterial SSU rRNA". It matches the Rfam family "Bacterial small subunit ribosomal RNA", at positions 28 to 456 of the family's 1533-position model. The record is from RNAcentral.
GAUGAACGCUGGCGGCGUGCUUAACACAUGCAAGUCGAACGGGAAACAUUUCAUUGAGGCUUCGGCGGAUUUGAUCUGUUUCUAGUGGCGGACGGGUGAGUAACGCGUGGGUAACCUGCCUUAUACUGGGGGAUAACAGCCGGAAAUGGCUGCUAAUACCGCAUAAGCGCACAGAACCGCAUGGUUCGGUGUGAAAAACUCCGGUGGUAUAAGAUGGACCCGCGUUGGAUUAGCUAGUUGGCAGGGCAGCGGCCUACCAAGGCGACGAUCCAUAGCCGGCCUGAGAGGGUGAACGGCCACAUUGGGACUGAGACACGGCCCAAACUCCUACGGGAGGCAGCAGUGGGGAAUAUUGCACAAUGGGCGAAAGCCUGAUGCAGCGACGCCGCGUGAGCGAAGAAGUAUUUCGGUAUGUAAAGCUCUAUCAGCAGGGAAGAUAAUGACG